This 530-nucleotide ribosomal RNA is filed under the name uncultured bacterium. RNAcentral describes it as "bacterial SSU rRNA". It matches the Rfam family "Bacterial small subunit ribosomal RNA", at positions 355 to 896 of the family's 1533-position model. The record is from RNAcentral.
UGGGGAAUAUUGCACAAUGGGCGGAAGCCUGAUGCAGCGACGCCGCGUGGGGGAUGAAGGCCUUCGGGUUGUAAACCCCUUUCGACAGGGACGAAGCGUAAGUGACGGUACCUGUAUAAGAAGCACCGGCUAACUACGUGCCAGCAGCCGCGGUAAUACGUAGGGUGCGAGCGUUGUCCGGAAUUACUGGGCGUAAAGAGCUCGUAGGUGGUUUGUCGCGUCGUCUGUGAAAUUCCGGGGCUUAACUCCGGGCGUGCAGGCGAUACGGGCUGACUUGAGUGCUGUAGGGGAGACUGGAAUUCCUGGUGUAGCGGUGAAAUGCGCAGAUAUCAGGAGGAAUGCCGAUGGCGAAGGCAGGUCUCUGGGCAGUAACUGACGCUGAGGAGCGAAAGCAUGGGUAGCGAACAGGAUUAGAUACCCUGGUAGUCCAUGCCGUAAACGGUGGGCGCUAGGUGUAGGGGGCUUCCACGUCUUCUGUGCCGUAGCUAACGCAUUAAGCGCCCCGCCUGGGGAGUACGGCCGCAAGGCUA